This 175-nucleotide long non-coding RNA is filed under the name Cavia porcellus (domestic guinea pig). Its description in RNAcentral is "lncRNA (ENSCPOG00000033566.1)". Lineage: Eukaryota; Metazoa; Chordata; Mammalia; Rodentia; Caviidae. The record is from RNAcentral.
UACGGGGACUUGAAACCAUUCCCAUGCCUUCUGCGACUCCUGUGACUGCGUUGAGAGACGUGGGACAGGCUGUUUUGCAGGCAUGGACCUCCGAGCAGCUCGCGCUGACCAUGGAUGCAGUCAAUCGGCUGAGCAACGCCACACGAGAGACCAUCAAGGCUCAAAGGCAACAGAU